Molecule: long non-coding RNA, 1922 nt
Organism: Xiphophorus maculatus (southern platyfish)
Lineage: Eukaryota; Metazoa; Chordata; Actinopteri; Cyprinodontiformes; Poeciliidae
Exons: 4
Source: RefSeq, a predicted model, not a curated record
GGUGGCCCUCAGCGGCGGCGGUGGCCCUCAGUGGCGGCGGCGGUGGCCCUCAGCGGCGGCGGCCCACAGCACCACCAUCACAGGUUCAAGUCCUGGCUGUUGAUUUUUUUAAGGUUUUUUUGUCUCGUCUGAGAUUCAACAGGGAAGCAGGUUGAGAGACGAGACUCGAGCCGUAAUGCAUCGCUGGGCAGACCGACAGGUCAAAGGUCAUCCAUCAGCUAAACCACAGAGAUGGUGACUGACUUAGCAGAACCGCACCUGAUAAAGCGGAACCGGGUUAGAACCGGGUCAGCCUCACGAUGUCAGCAGCAGCAUCAGCUGUAAGGCACGGCGGUGGAGGGGUGAUGGGACAGAGCCUGCAGAUAUGGAACUGUGUCCCUCUGUCGUUUGGUGAUGGACUGGAGACGUCCAGAGACGGUCCCACACCUGGAGACGGUCCCACACCUGGAGACGGUCCCUGUUGAAGGAGGAUGGGGAACCGACACACGAUGACACCCAGAAUGAUGACGUCUUCAGAACCCAAGCCUUCUCUGGAUCUUUUCUGGGUCAGAACCAGGACCUUCAAUGUGACAGAAAGUUCACCCAAGUCUUAAAAAAGAGGAACAUUUUAUAACAAUAAUUUUCUCAAAAACGGCCACCAUCUUGAAAAAUGUCCAGUGGCUGAUGGGAAAUAUGAAAAACAUCCACGCUAGCAUGCUAAAGGGGUUAGCAUGCUAAUGUUUAUGUUUUUACAGCAAUCUGCUGCUGCCAAAGGUUUCCCAGUUUACAGCAGCGGUUCUGUCAGGUCAAAGGUCACCAGUGGGUGACUUGGAGGAGCAGAUCUCUGCGGGUCACACCCCGGUGACAAAUACCAGAACCGAGCACAAAGCCGAGCUGAGUCAGCGACCCUAAACCGGACAAAGGUCAUGAUGACGCUGAACCAGCAACAUCUUCUCUCUAUAAACAAGAUGGCCGCCGGACGCAGGAGACAAGAUGGAGGGAAGCAGACACAUCGGCUGUUACCUGCUGGGAAGCACGGCGGCGGAGGGAUGAUGCUGUGGGCCGCAGCCACAUGGUGCUGCAGAACCAUUCAAGUUUGAAAGUUUGGAGCUGAACUUCCUCAGCAGCAUUUAAACGACCGGACCCCGGAUCAGAACCAGAUCGUCCUCAGGACGGGGCUGUGAACCCGGCCGCCCCGUUGGUUCCGGUCCAAAUUCAGCGACUCGUCUCGUUCUCUCUGUGGUGCAGCUGCAGCCGACGUGUUGCUGCUAUGGAAACAUUUUAUUAUUAAUGUCACAAACUUUCAUCCACAGGAAGUCGGGUUUACAUUUGAACCUUUAUUACGUAAAAACACAGAAAUAGAUGCUAGAUGUUCUCUGAUGGACCGAGCCAAAACCAGAGGUUCUGCAGAACGGCUGGGUCCAGUUGGGAAGUGCAGACUGAAUGGAACACUGUGCUACUACGCCCCCUGCUGGACGGACCUAUGAAACACCUGGGAACCGGAUCUAAAUGAGGCCUCAGAGGUUCUGGACCGCUGAUCAGAACCAGGCAGAACCAGGACAUGGUUCUAUGCAGUAACCCGUGAAUUCCAACAGAACUAACAGCGGCUCUGGCCCAGAUUCGGUUCUGUGAGCCAGAAACCUGCAGCAGAGAACCAAACGGAGCGGAUCCUGGUCAUGAGCCACAGCUCUGCAUUUUAUUUAAGGAACAGGAAGUGACGGACAGAAGCCGCCGAUCCUUCAGGCUCUGCUGCUGGACCCACAGCCUGCAGGGGGCGCUUCAGGAGCAGGGUGGAGCGGGAGGAAGACCAGCCUGCAGUCCUGAGAAGAAGAACAGACCGGAAGCAGCAGUUCUUACAGGUCGGAACAUCUCUGCCGUCCGGACCGGAACCGGGUUCUCCUCUCGGGUCCGGCCGCUGGUUCCGGACAUCUGGACCCAAACCG